Molecule: long non-coding RNA, 214 nt
Filed under: Vigna radiata
Lineage: Eukaryota; Viridiplantae; Streptophyta; Magnoliopsida; Fabales; Fabaceae
Description: long non-coding RNA (VRAD_LNC000013)
Source: RNAcentral
GGAGCUUGAAGUUGGUAUGAAAUGGGCACAACAUUAAUAAAUUAAAUACACCACACCACCAUAUGUAAUUGAUUAAAGUAGAUUAUUACCUGUCAUUUUGCACUUUUGGAUAUAAGGUAAGUGCAAAUGCUUAUUGUCUAUCUUUAUUGAGAGGUGUCACAAAGAUAUCAACAAUUUUCAUCUAUAAAUUGGUGAUAUGACUAUUACAUUAGUU